Molecule: ribosomal RNA, 278 nt
Filed under: uncultured bacterium
Lineage: Bacteria
Description: partial 16S ribosomal RNA
Rfam family: Bacterial small subunit ribosomal RNA
Source: RNAcentral
CAGACCUACGGGGCGCAGCAGUGAGGAAUCUUGGUCCAUUGGCGCGAGCCUGAACCAGCCAAGUAGCGUGAAGGAUGACUGCCCUACGGGUUGUAAACUUCUUUUAUAAAGGAAUAAAGUGAGGCACGUGUGCCUUUUUGUAUGUACUUUAUGAAUAAGGAUCGGCUAACUCCGUGCCAGCAGCCGCGGUAAUACGGAGGAUCCGAGCGUUAUCCGGAUUUAUUGGGUUUAAAGGGAGCGUAGAUGGGUUGUUAAGUCAGUUGUGAAUGUUUGCGGCU